This 245-nucleotide ribosomal RNA is filed under the name uncultured bacterium. Its description in RNAcentral is "partial 16S ribosomal RNA". It matches the Rfam family "Bacterial small subunit ribosomal RNA", at positions 524 to 768 of the family's 1533-position model. The record is from RNAcentral.
UACGUAGGAUGCAAGCGUUAUCCGGAUUUAUUGGGCGUAAAGCGAGUGCAGGCGGCUUGGUAAGUCGGUUGUAAAAUCUCCUGGCUUAACUAGGAGGGACCAUCCGAUACUGCCAGACUAGAGUGCAUCAGGAGAAGAUGGAAUUCCCGGUGUAGUGGUGAAAUGCGUAGAUAUCGGGAGGAACACCAGUGGCGAAGGCGGUCUUCUAGGAUGCUACUGACGCUGAGGCUCGAAAGCGUGGGGAG